CACAAGAUUGCUCCUUCACUCUAGGGCUCCUCCCCUGCCCUACACCCCCUGUCAACAUGACUGAUGAAUUCAAUAUCCCUUUCUCUCUAGCUGACAGCUCAGUGAGCUGACUCCAAUCAGCAGGACCCCCUGGUCGCCUGCUGCAGGCCUCCCUAAUCACAGGCAGAGGCUGCUGUGGACAGACAGAUGGGUCUGCAGAGGCCAGUAAGCUCUGUCUCUCUGGAGAACCUUGGUUAGAGCAGAGGGUAAGAAGGAAAGUACUCUUGCUGAACCCAUACAGGCCAGGAGCUGACCCAGUCCUCACAAACCCACCUGCCUUUUCCUAA
RNAcentral lists this long non-coding RNA (326 nucleotides) under Cavia porcellus (domestic guinea pig). RNAcentral's name for it is "lncRNA (ENSCPOG00000040781.1)". The record is from RNAcentral. Lineage: Eukaryota; Metazoa; Chordata; Mammalia; Rodentia; Caviidae.